GAUGAACGCUGGCGGCGUGCCUAAUACAUGCAAGUCGAGCGAACAGAUGAGGAGCUUGCUCCUCUGACGUUAGCGGCGGACGGGUGAGUAACACGUGGAUAACCUACCUAUAAGACUGGGAUAACUUCGGGAAACCGGAGCUAAUACCGGAUAAUAUAUUGAACCGCAUGGUUCAAUAGUGAAAGACGGUUUUGCUGUCACUUAUAGAUGGAUCCGCGCCGCAUUAGCUAGUUGGUAAGGUAACGGCUUACCAAGGCAACGAUGCGUAGCCGACCUGAGAGGGUGAUCGGCCACACUGGAACUGAGACACGGUCCAGACUCCUACGGGAGGCAGCAGUAGGGAAUCGUCCGCAAUGGGCGAAAGCCUGACGGAGCAACGCCGCGUGAGUGAUGAAGGUCUUCGGAUCGUAAAACUCUGUUAUGAGGGAAGAACAAAUGUGUAAGUAACUAUGCACGUCUUGACGGUACCUAAUCAGAAAGCCACGGCUAACUACGUG
This 497-nucleotide ribosomal RNA is filed under the name uncultured bacterium. RNAcentral's name for it is "partial 16S ribosomal RNA". It matches the Rfam family "Bacterial small subunit ribosomal RNA", at positions 28 to 507 of the family's 1533-position model. The record is from RNAcentral.